GGGCCUUUAGCAGAUCCAGAAGCAGGUGUCACUCCCAAGAGUGACAUCAACACUGGCUCUACCAAAACUGCCAAGAAUCAUAAGGACACCUAUUCUGAAAUUUGAAGAGGACUGUGCACGGAGACAGACUAUGGUGAUUACAUAUACAUUUUAAGCAGGUGUCAGAUCUGCCUGAAUGCUUUCCCUGCCCAUCCUGUCCCCUCCACUUUGUCGUUCCUAUUGUCCGCUAACCCACCUUUCAUCAUUCU
This is a long non-coding RNA of Leopardus geoffroyi (Geoffroy's cat), 248 nucleotides long. RefSeq lists it as uncharacterized. Lineage: Eukaryota; Metazoa; Chordata; Mammalia; Carnivora; Felidae. The transcript has 2 exons. The record is from RefSeq and is a predicted model, not a curated record.